RNAcentral lists this transfer RNA (70 nucleotides) under Pseudomonas sp. G11. RNAcentral describes it as "tRNA-OTHER". It matches the Rfam family "tRNA". Rfam says of the family: Transfer RNA (tRNA) molecules are approximately 80 nucleotides in length. Their secondary structure includes four short double-helical elements and three loops (D, anti-codon, and T loops). Lineage: Bacteria; Pseudomonadati; Pseudomonadota; Gammaproteobacteria; Pseudomonadales; Pseudomonadaceae. The record is from RNAcentral.
GCGGGUAGCGCAGGUCGCUAGUCAGCCUUCCAAGCUUACGAUCAGGGUUCGAUUCCCUGUAUCCGCUCCA